RNAcentral lists this ribosomal RNA (383 nucleotides) under uncultured eukaryote. RNAcentral describes it as "partial Eukaryotic small subunit ribosomal RNA". It matches the Rfam family "Eukaryotic small subunit ribosomal RNA", at positions 1 to 389 of the family's 1831-position model. The record is from RNAcentral.
ACCUGGUUGAUCCUGCCAGUAGUCAUAUGCUUGUCUCAAAGAUUAAGCCAUGCAUGUCUAAGUAUAAGCACCUUAUACUGUGAAACUGCGAAUGGCUCAUUAAAUCAGUUAUGGUUUAUUUGAUGGUACCUUACUACUUGGAUAACCGUAGUAAUUCUAGAGCUAAUACAUGCAGGCAGUCCCGACUUUGAAGGGAUGUAUUUAUUAGAUAAGAAACCAACUCGGGCAACCGGUUGUGUGCUGAGUCAUACUAACUUUUCGAAUCGCAUGGCUUCGGCCGGCGAUGGUUCAUUCAAAUUUCUGCCCUAUCAGCUUUCGAUGGUAGGAUAGAGGCCUACCAUGGCGUUAACGGGUAACGGAGAAUUAGGGUUCGAUUCCGGAGA